UGGUGUUUAGCCUUGGAGAUGCCC
RNAcentral lists this non-coding RNA (24 nucleotides) under Arabidopsis thaliana (thale cress). Lineage: Eukaryota; Viridiplantae; Streptophyta; Magnoliopsida; Brassicales; Brassicaceae. The record is from RNAcentral.